GACGAACGCUGGCGGCGUGGAUUAGGCAUGCAAGUCGAACGGUAGGAUACCUUCGGGUAUCUGAGAGUGGCGAACGGGUGAGUAACACGUAGGUGAUCUACCCUCAAGAUUGGGACAACCCAGGGAAACUUGGGCUAAUACCGGAUGAAAGCAGCAGUGAUGUUGUUUGAAAGGUGGCGUAAGCUGCCGUUUGGGAUGAGCCUGCGCUCUAUUAGUUAGUUGGCGGGGUAAAGGCCCACCAAGGCGAUGAUAGAUAGGCGGCCUUAACGGGUGGUCGCCCACACUGGGAUUGAGAUACGGCCCAGACUCCUACGGGAGGCAGCAGUCGAGAAUAGUCUACAAUGGCCGAAAGGCUGAUAGUGCGACGCCGCGUGAACGAAGAAGCCCUUCGGGGUGUAAAGUUCUUUUAUAUGUGAGCAGUGCUUUCUAUGUGAACAGCAUGGGGAGAGAGAUAUUAGCAUAUGAAUAAGCAACGGCUAACUCCGUG
RNAcentral lists this ribosomal RNA (487 nucleotides) under uncultured bacterium. Its description in RNAcentral is "bacterial SSU rRNA". It matches the Rfam family "Bacterial small subunit ribosomal RNA", at positions 28 to 507 of the family's 1533-position model. The record is from RNAcentral.